UUACAUGAUGAAUAAGAGCUUUGCUCGAUAAUCCCAGCUCGUCGAUGGCCUCAUAUAUAUUAUAAUCCAACCAGAGGUCACAUGAGAUGAAGUCCCGUCUGAUUAG
This 106-nucleotide small nucleolar RNA is filed under the name Aspergillus glaucus CBS 516.65. RNAcentral describes it as "A. fumigatus snoRNA Afu_304". It matches the Rfam family "A. fumigatus snoRNA Afu_304". Lineage: Eukaryota; Fungi; Ascomycota; Eurotiomycetes; Eurotiales; Aspergillaceae. The record is from Rfam by way of RNAcentral.